Molecule: ribosomal RNA, 253 nt
Filed under: uncultured bacterium
Lineage: Bacteria
Description: partial 16S ribosomal RNA
Rfam family: Bacterial small subunit ribosomal RNA
Source: RNAcentral
UACGUAGGGGGCAAGCGUUAUCCGGAUUUACUGGGUGUAAAGGGAGCGUAGACGGCUUUGCAAGCCAGAUGUGAAAGCCCGGGGCUCAACCCCGGGACUGCAUUUGGAACUGUAUGGCUGGAGUGUCGGAGAGGCAGGCGGAAUUCCUAGUGUAGCGGUGAAAUGCGUAGAUAUUAGGAGGAACACCAGUGGCGAAGGCGGCCUGCUGGACGAUGACUGACGUUGAGGCUCGAAAGCGUGGGGAGCAAACAGG